This 468-nucleotide ribosomal RNA is filed under the name uncultured bacterium. RNAcentral describes it as "partial 16S ribosomal RNA". It matches the Rfam family "Bacterial small subunit ribosomal RNA", at positions 28 to 507 of the family's 1533-position model. The record is from RNAcentral.
GACGAACGCUGGCGGCGUGCUUAACACAUGCAAGUCGAACGGAAAGGCCCUGCUUUUGUGGGGUGCUCGAGUGGCGAACGGGUGAGUAACACGUGAGUAACCUGCCCUUGACUUUGGGAUAACUUCAGGAAACUGGGGCUAAUACCGGAUAGGAGCUCCUGCUGCAUGGUGUGGGUUGGAAAGUUUCGGCGGUUGGGGAUGGACUCGCGGCUUAUCAGCUUGUUGGUGGGGUAGUGGCUUACCAAGGCUUUGACGGGUAGCCGGCCUGAGAGGGUGACCGGCCACAUUGGGACUGAGAUACGGCCCAGACUCCUACGGGAGGCAGCAGUGGGGAAUAUUGCACAAUGGGCGGAAGCCUGAUGCAGCAACGCAGCGUGCGGGAUGACGGCCUUCGGGUUGUAAACCGCUUUCGCCUGUGACGAAGCGUGAGUGACGGUAAUGGGUAAAGAAGCACCGGCUAACUACGUG